Molecule: long non-coding RNA, 350 nt
Organism: Ochotona curzoniae (black-lipped pika)
Lineage: Eukaryota; Metazoa; Chordata; Mammalia; Lagomorpha; Ochotonidae
Exons: 3
Source: RefSeq, a predicted model, not a curated record
GUGGUUCAAGAAGAGCGGUGAGGUCACCAGGCCCGGGCUCCCCGGGGCCGCGCCGGCUGCCCCCAGCACCAGGUUCCCGCUGCCAUCAAGGCUGAACCAGACGCGGAUCACUUCCUUCUCCAUGUGCAGCUGCUCGGCGAUCAGCAGGAUCUCCUCUGAGGAUGAUGGAACCAGCACAACUGCUCUGCCUAACCAAUGGGGAGAAUCCAGUUAAAACUGAAAAGUGUACACCUGAAUGCAAGCUCAACUUUAGAGAACAGUAAUGGGUCAGUGAGCUGGAACGCACGUGCCACCCCGGUGGGGGAUGUUGGUCCUUUAGCCGGCAGCGCAUGCGCACAGCAGCGAGUACA